AGUGAACGCUGGCGGUAGGCCUAACACAUGCAAGUCGAACGGCAGCACAGUAAGAGCUUGCUCUUACGGGUGGCGAGUGGCGGACGGGUGAGGAAUACAUCGGAAUCUACUUUUUCGUGGGGGAUAACGUAGGGAAACUUACGCUAAUACCGCAUACGACCUACGGGUGAAAGCAGGGGAUCUUCGGACCUUGCGCGAUUGAAUGAGCCGAUGUCGGAGUAGCUAGUUGGCGGGGUAAAGGCCCACCAAGGCGACGAUCCGUAGCUGGUCUGAGAGGAUGAUCAGCCACACUGGAACUGAGACACGGUCCAGACUCCUACGGGAGGCAGCAGUGGGGAAUAUUGGACAAUGGGCGCAAGCCUGAUCCAGCCAUACCGCGUGAGUGAAGAAGGCCUUCGGGUUGUAAAGCCCUUUUGUUGGGAAAGAAAAGCAGCAGGUUAAUACCCCGCUGUUCUGACGGUACCCAAAGAAUAAGCACCGGCUAACUUCGUG
Molecule: ribosomal RNA, 492 nt
Filed under: uncultured bacterium
Lineage: Bacteria
Description: partial 16S ribosomal RNA
Rfam family: Bacterial small subunit ribosomal RNA
Source: RNAcentral